Non-coding RNA from Punica granatum (pomegranate), 751 nucleotides. Lineage: Eukaryota; Viridiplantae; Streptophyta; Magnoliopsida; Myrtales; Lythraceae. The record is from RefSeq and is a predicted model, not a curated record.
GAAAUUCCUCUUGCGGUGCUUGCCUACCAGUUCCUGUAACCCGUAAUCCUUCGUGACUUCGUCCCUUCCUCUUCCCGUUCUGCCUCCACCUCUGUCAGCAGAAGAAGUCUCCACCGCUCCACCGUCCACGAUCCGCUCCGCCAUUCCGCUCCACCUCGAACCAGGCUCGACCCUGCGACCUCGGACCCCCGCGACCGCGACCCCGCAAACCUCGACUCGAGCCCUUUUAUUUGACCUCAGAGUCUCAGCCGAAGCGACGUCGGCUCGGUCCUCGACCUCAGACCAAGUCGACCUCGAACCCGACUCGACCCCACGACCGCCACCGCCACCGCCACCGCCACCCUGCGAGUCUGCGACCCUCGAGCCGUUGACCUUGGGCCCUCGACCUCAAGCCCUCUCUAACUGUUCAGACAUUGCGACGUCACCGAGACCUCAGACGAAGUCGACCUCGACCCUGGCUUGACCGCGCGACCUCAACCUUUGGAAGCCUGGGGGAUGGAUCGUAUGAGUUUUCAAAAGAGACUUGUGUUGGAGAAUUUCCCGAUUUGUAUUAUUUGACUGAGUAUGAAUACCUGAUUGAGGAAGACAUGAGCAAUUGAUGAAUACCUACUUUGGAAGUGCAAUGAUAUGAUGCUAUUACAAGUUAUUGUAAUCUAUUGUAAGACUAGACUUAUAUCUCAUGAUCUUUGUACUUCCUAGAUUAUGGUCCAUUUCUAUGAAUGAAAUGAGAAUGGUUAACUUUUUAGAAAUU